GUCCCUAGAGUCAUUGAUCCAACUUGAAAAUACUAUCGUCGUGAUGAAGACUCGUCGGACAAUAAUAUCUCAAGAGAAUCUACUCUAGGCGGGGUCUUCGUAUCGUCCCAACAAGGAAGACUCCUUGUGGGUCUCCACUACACAACGAUCAACUUAAUCUUAUGGUUUUUCUCAGACUCUGAUAGAGAUCCUAUCUCACAAAGUGUCAAUAAUC
RNAcentral lists this long non-coding RNA (214 nucleotides) under Lathyrus oleraceus (garden pea). RNAcentral describes it as "Pisum sativum (pea) long non-coding RNA (PSAT_LNC008841)". Lineage: Eukaryota; Viridiplantae; Streptophyta; Magnoliopsida; Fabales; Fabaceae. The record is from RNAcentral.